RNAcentral lists this ribosomal RNA (406 nucleotides) under uncultured bacterium. RNAcentral's name for it is "partial 16S ribosomal RNA". It matches the Rfam family "Bacterial small subunit ribosomal RNA", at positions 30 to 526 of the family's 1533-position model. The record is from RNAcentral.
AUCGAACGCUGGCGGCAGGCCUAACACAUGCAAGUCGAGCGAGCGGCGGACGGGUGAGUAAUGGCUGGGAAACUGCCUGAUGGCGGGGGAUAACUACUGGAAACGGUAGCUAAUACCGUAUACCAUCAGAUUUGCCCAGAUGGGAUUAGCUAGUAGGUGGGGUAACGGCUCACCUAGGCGACUAUCCCUAGCUGGUCUGAGAGGAUGACCAGCCACACUGGGACUGAGACACGGCCCAGACUCCUACGGGAGGCAGCAGUGGGGAAUAUUGUGCAAUGGGCGAAAGCCUGAUGCAGCAAUGCCGCGUGUGUGAAGAAGGUCUUCGGGUUGUAAAGCACUUUCAGCGGGGAGGCGUUACCCGCAGAAGAAGCACCGGCUAACUCCGUGCCAGCCGCCGCGGUAAUUC